Molecule: ribosomal RNA, 337 nt
Filed under: Brachistosternus peruvianus
Lineage: Eukaryota; Metazoa; Arthropoda; Arachnida; Scorpiones; Bothriuridae
Description: partial 12S small subunit ribosomal RNA
Source: RNAcentral
UAGAAAUUUAUUUAUAUUAGGUAGUAACAGAUUUCUUGAAACCUAAAGAAUUUGGCGGUAUUUUAAAUAAUUAGAGGAACCUGUUAAUUAAAUGACAAUCCACAACAUAUCUUACCUGGAUAAAAAAAAUUUGUAUACCGUUGUUUUUAGAUUAUAUUUAGAAAUUAUAAUCAAAAUCAAUUUAUUUUUAUAAAUCAAAUCAAGGUGCAGUAUCUCCAGGUUUUAAUGGGUUACAAUAUAUUUAUAUAUACGGAUAAGUAAUGAAAAUAGUUUUUAAGGUGGAUUUAAAAGUAAUUUUAAAGUAAAAUGUUAAAAUGAAUAAAAAUUUAAAAUAUGC